GGACCAGUAUGAAUGGCCCAAUGAGGACUUAACCUGUCUCCUACGCCAAAUCAAUGAAACUGAUCUUCCGGUACAAAAGCCGGAAUAGUUACAUAAGACGAGAAGACCCUGUGGAGCUUCAAACUAACAAUUACAAAUACUAAUCAUCCGUUUUAAGUUGGGGCAACUUUGGAAAUAAUACAACUUCCAAGAUAAGCAGGCACAAACCUGAACUAAGGUCAACACACCAAAGGAAAACUUUCGACCCAGUAAUACUGACCAACGAACCAAGUUACCCCAGGGAUAACAGCGCUAUCUUCCAUCAGAGUUCAUAUCGACAGGAAGGAUUACGACCUCGAUGUUGGAUCAGGGCACCCAAGUGGUGCAGCCGCCACUAACGGUUCGUUUGUUCAACGAUUAAAGCCCUACGUGAUCUGAGUU
This 420-nucleotide ribosomal RNA is filed under the name Lepidophyma mayae. RNAcentral's name for it is "partial 16S ribosomal RNA". It matches the Rfam family "Bacterial large subunit ribosomal RNA", at positions 1984 to 2611 of the family's 2925-position model. The record is from RNAcentral. Lineage: Eukaryota; Metazoa; Chordata; Lepidosauria; Squamata; Xantusiidae.